RNAcentral lists this ribosomal RNA (468 nucleotides) under uncultured bacterium. Its description in RNAcentral is "partial 16S ribosomal RNA". It matches the Rfam family "Bacterial small subunit ribosomal RNA", at positions 28 to 507 of the family's 1533-position model. The record is from RNAcentral.
GACGAACGCUGGCGGCGUGCUUAACACAUGCAAGUCGAACGGAAAGGCCCUGCUUUUGUGGGGUGCUCGAGUGGCGAACGGGUGAGUAACACGUGAGUAACCUGCCCUUGACUUUGGGAUAACUUCAGGAAACUGGGGCUAAUACGGGAUAGGAGCUCCUGCUGCAUGGUGGGGGUUGGAAAUUUUGGGCGGUUGGGGAUUGACUCGCGGCUUAUAAGCUUGUUGGUGGGGUAGUGACCUACCAAGGCUUGGCCGGGUAGCCGGCCUGAGUGGGUGACCGGCAAAAUUGGGACUGAGAUACGGCCAAGCUCCCUCCGGGGGGAAGCAGUGGGGAAUAUUGAACAAUGGGCGGAAGCCUGAUGAAGCAACGCCGCGGGCGGGAUGACGGCCUCCGGGUUGUAAACCGCUUUCGCAUGUGACGAAGCGUGAGUGACGGUAAUGGGUAAAGAAGCACCGACUAACUACGUG